CCUACGGGUGGCAGCAGUGAGGAAUAUUGGUCAAUGGACGAGAGUCUGAACCAGCCAAGUAGCGUGAAGGAUGACUGCCCUAUGGGUUGUAAACUUCUUUUAUAUGGGAAUAAAAUGUUCCACGUGCGGGAUUUUGUAUGUACCAUAUGAAUAAGGAUCGGCUAACUCCGUGCCAGCAGCCGCGGUAAUACGGAGGAGCCGGGCGUUAUCCGGAUUUAUUGGGUUUAACGGGAACGUAGGAGGUUUGUUAAGUCAAUUGUGAAAGUUUGCGGCUCAACCGUACAAUUGCAGUUGAAACUGGCAGUCUUGAGUACAGUAGAGGAGGGCGGAAU
Molecule: ribosomal RNA, 332 nt
Filed under: uncultured bacterium
Lineage: Bacteria
Description: partial 16S ribosomal RNA
Rfam family: Bacterial small subunit ribosomal RNA
Source: RNAcentral